ACGGGAGGCAGCAGUAGGGAAUCUUGCGCAAUGGGCGAAAGCCUGACGCAGCAACGCCGCGUGGGGGAUGAAUGCCUUCGGGUUGUAAACCCCUUUCAGCAGGGACGAAAAUGACGGUACCUGCAGAAGAAGCUCCGGCCAACUACGUGCCAGCAGCCGCGGUAAUACGUAGGGAGCGAGCGUUGUCCGGAAUUAUUGGGCGUAAAGAGCUCGUAGGCGGUUCAGUAAGUCGGGUGUGAAAACUCAAGGCUCAACCUUGAGACGCCACUCGAUACUGCUGUGACUUGAGUCCGGUAGAGGAGUGUGGAAUUCCUGGUGUAGCGGUGAAAUGCGCAGAUAUYABBAGGRRVAMCAGCGGCGAAGGCGGCACUCUGGGCCGGUACUGACGCUGAGGAGCGAAAGCAUGGGGAGCAAACAGGAUGAGAUACCCUGGUAGUCCAUGCCGUAAACGUUGGGCACUUGAUAUGGGAUCAUAUCAACGGAUUCCGUGCCGUAGCUAACGC
RNAcentral lists this ribosomal RNA (503 nucleotides) under uncultured bacterium. Its description in RNAcentral is "bacterial SSU rRNA". It matches the Rfam family "Bacterial small subunit ribosomal RNA", at positions 341 to 858 of the family's 1533-position model. The record is from RNAcentral.